RNAcentral lists this non-coding RNA (182 nucleotides) under Sporolactobacillus laevolacticus. RNAcentral's name for it is "Lysine sequence". It matches the Rfam family "Lysine riboswitch aptamer". From Rfam's summary of the family: Riboswitches are metabolite binding domains within certain messenger RNAs that serve as precision sensors for their corresponding targets. Lineage: Bacteria; Bacillati; Bacillota; Bacilli; Caryophanales; Sporolactobacillaceae. RNAcentral also lists the same sequence under 1 other name. The record is from RNAcentral.
AGAGGGGGUAGAGGCGCGGCAUUUAUGAUGAACGUAUCCGAGGCUAAGGGGAGCCGUAGAAGGUGCGCGUAAGGAACUGCCGCCGAAGUGUGUCUGGCACCCUUGUCAGGCAUGCUGGGACCGUUUCCGAAAAGGGGCGGGACUGUCACAUGCGUCAAUGCAUGUGUUGUGCUAUCGGUGGA